RNAcentral lists this ribosomal RNA (2008 nucleotides) under Escherichia coli. RNAcentral's name for it is "partial 23S ribosomal RNA". It matches the Rfam family "Bacterial large subunit ribosomal RNA", at positions 930 to 2915 of the family's 2925-position model. RNAcentral also lists the same sequence under 1 other name. The record is from RNAcentral. Lineage: Bacteria; Pseudomonadati; Pseudomonadota; Gammaproteobacteria; Enterobacterales; Enterobacteriaceae.
CCCGACUUACCAACCCGAUGCAAACUGCGAAUACCGGAGAAUGUUAUCACGGGAGACACACGGCGGGUGCUAACGUCCGUCGUGAAGAGGGAAACAACCCAGACCGCCAGCUAAGGUCCCAAAGUCAUGGUUAAGUGGGAAACGAUGUGGGAAGGCCCAGACAGCCAGGAUGUUGGCUUAGAAGCAGCCAUCAUUUAAAGAAAGCGUAAUAGCUCACUGGUCGAGUCGGCCUGCGCGGAAGAUGUAACGGGGCUAAACCAUGCACCGAAGCUGCGGCAGCGAUGCUUAUGCGUUGUUGGGUAGGGGAGCGUUCUGUAAGCCUGCGAAGGUGUGCUGUGAGGCAUGCUGGAGGUAUCAGAAGUGCGAAUGCUGACAUAAGUAACGAUAAAGCGGGUGAAAAGCCCGCUCGCCGGAAGACCAAGGGUUCCUGUCCAACGUUAAUCGGGGCAGGGUGAGUCGACCCCUAAGGCGAGGCCGAAAGGCGUAGUCGAUGGGAAACAGGUUAAUAUUCCUGUACUUGGUGUUACUGCGAAGGGGGGACGGAGAAGGCUAUGUUGGCCGGGCGACGGUUGUCCCGGUUUAAGCGUGUAGGCUGGUUUUCCAGGCAAAUCCGGAAAAUCAAGGCUGAGGCGUGAUGACGAGGCACUACGGUGCUGAAGCAACAAAUGCCCUGCUUCCAGGAAAAGCCUCUAAGCAUCAGGUAACAUCAAAUCGUACCCCAAACCGACACAGGUGGUCAGGUAGAGAAUACCAAGGCGCUUGAGAGAACUCGGGUGAAGGAACUAGGCAAAAUGGUGCCGUAACUUCGGGAGAAGGCACGCUGAUAUGUAGGUGAAGUCCCUUGCGGAUGGAGCUGAAAUCAGUCGAAGAUACCAGCUGGCUGCAACUGUUUAUUAAAAACACAGCACUGUGCAAACACGAAAGUGGACGUAUACGGUGUGACGCCUGCCCGGUGCCGGAAGGUUAAUUGAUGGGGUCAGCGCAAGCGAAGCUCUUGAUCGAAGCCCCGGUAAACGGCGGCCGUAACUAUAACGGUCCUAAGGUAGCGAAAUUCCUUGUCGGGUAAGUUCCGACCUGCACGAAUGGCGUAAUGAUGGCCAGGCUGUCUCCACCCGAGACUCAGUGAAAUUGAACUCGCUGUGAAGAUGCAGUGUACCCGCGGCAAGACGGAAAGACCCCGUGAACCUUUACUAUAGCUUGACACUGAACAUUGAGCCUUGAUGUGUAGGAUAGGUGGGAGGCUUUGAAGUGUGGACGCCAGUCUGCAUGGAGCCGGCCUUGAAAUACCACCCUUUAAUGUUUGAUGUUCUAACGUGGACCCGUGAUCCGGGUUGCGGACAGUGUCUGGUGGGUAGUUUGACUGGGGCGGUCUCCUCCUAAAGAGUAACGGAGGAGCACGAAGGUUGGCUAAUCCUGGUCGGACAUCAGGAGGUUAGUGCAAUGGCAUAAGCCAGCUUGACUGCGAGCGUGACGGCGCGAGCAGGUGCGAAAGCAGGUCAUAGUGAUCCGGUGGUUCUGAAUGGAAGGGCCAUCGCUCAACGGAUAAAAGGUACUCCGGGGAUAACAGGCUGAUACCGCCCAAGAGUUCAUAUCGACGGCGGUGUUUGGCACCUCGAUGUCGGCUCAUCACAUCCUGGGGCUGAAGUAGGUCCCAAGGGUAUGGCUGUUCGCCAUUUAAAGUGGUACGCGAGCUGGGUUUAGAACGUCGUGAGACAGUUCGGUCCCUAUCUGCCGUGGGCGCUGGAGAACUGAGGGGGGCUGCUCCUAGUACGAGAGGACCGGAGUGGACGCAUCACUGGUGUUCGGGUUGUCAUGCCAAUGGCACUGCCCGGUAGCUAAAUGCGGAAGAGAUAAGUGCUGAAAGCAUCUAAGCACGAAACUUGCCCCGAGAUGAGUUCUCCCUGACCCUUUAAGGGUCCUGAAGGAACGUUGAAGACGACGACGUUGAUAGGCCGGGUGUGUAAGCGCAGCGAUGCGUUGAGCUAACCGGUACUAAUGAACCGUGAGG